RNAcentral lists this non-coding RNA (45 nucleotides) under Schistosoma mansoni. Lineage: Eukaryota; Metazoa; Platyhelminthes; Trematoda; Strigeidida; Schistosomatidae. The record is from RNAcentral.
AUACAACUGAUCAGUCCUAAAUAGGAUGUAACGCGCGUCCUGAAU